GGGGAUGAACGGCAUCGACGGUUUGCUAGCACUUUUAAAAAAUGUUAGGGCGCACCUGUGCGUUAAACGGAAAAACUAACAGCAAAUGAAGAUUUAUUUGCUGAUCUCAAAGCGUUCGCUCGAGAACAGUUGGAAGGCGUCAUCGCUGCCCAAUUUGCUCAAAGGCCAGCAGCUUACGCAUUCGUAAGCUAAUUUGAGAUCCUCUUUUUUAAGUUUUCCUUGAUUCAACUUAAUUAAGAGAUAAACCAAUCAAGGCUAGAUUUUAUAGAUUUCUCGAUGAGCUAUAAAAUUGAAACACCCUCAUCGGCUUUCCGAUAAAUGUUGAUUAUUUAAUAGUCGGAAUAGAGUCAAAAAUAAUCUAUCCCUAACUAACAAUUUUUUAAAGGAGCCUAACCGGACCCGGGUUCAACUCCCGGCAUCUCCACCA
Candidatus Roizmanbacteria bacterium is the source of this 427-nucleotide non-coding RNA. Lineage: Bacteria; Candidatus Roizmaniibacteriota. The record is from Rfam.